This 3113-nucleotide ribosomal RNA is filed under the name Cladonia stipitata. The record is from RNAcentral. Lineage: Eukaryota; Fungi; Ascomycota; Lecanoromycetes; Lecanorales; Cladoniaceae.
AAACGAAGUGAAUUGAAAUAUCUUAAUAACUUCAGGAAAAAAAAUCAAAAGAGAUUUCUUAAGUAAUGUGAAUGAAACAGAAUAAGUCUUGUUUUUGUAUUAGGUCUUUUUAUAUUCUCUGUUUUUGAUUGCUCUAGCAUUUUAUUAUAAAAAAAAAUUAAUGCUUGCUUGUAAUACUAAACAAGCUUAGGUAGUUAUCAACAUAAAAAUAUGAAAAAGACACAUUGCUUGUUAAAUCAUACGAGCUGAUGCUGCGUACAUAAAGGAAAAAGUAAAAUGGAGUGCAUAUCUGUUUGAAUAAAAGGGGAACCUUCCUCUAAGACUAAAUAUAAUAUAUAAGCGAUAGCGAAUAGUACCGUAAGGGAAAUGAUUGAAAUAGUAAUUUUAUAAGCAGCUCAAAGAUGGUUUAAAUAAACAAUGAGAGCGUACCUUUUGCAUAAUGGGUCAGCAAGUUAAUAUUCGAUGCGAGCAAUAAUGCAAAGAUAAAACAAUUAUGAUAUAAUAAUGUAGUAUCGAAAUUAGACCCGAAACCUAGUGAUCUUACCAUGAUCAGGGUUAUAAAAGUCCGAACGGGUUAUCGUUGUAAAGAUAUCCGAAGAAUCGUGGUAAGUUAGUGAAAGACAAUUCUGACUAGGAUAGCUGGUUUUCUGCGAAACCUAUAUAAGUAGGUAAUUUAAAUAGAAUAUCAGAAGGUACAGAAUUGUGAUCUCAUGCAACCAGUAUUUAUUAAUAUAUUAAUAAAAAAAAAAGAACAACUUGUUUGUGUACUUAUACUAGGUUAUCCUACGUAAGUAUUCACGCAUGUUUAUCUUUUUAGGGAUAUUAUAAUAUUAACAAAAAUAUACUUUUUGUGGACAUUGGGGGGUCGUGAAGACUCUAUCAGUGAGUAUUUGUUCUCGGAAGGACUAGAUAUGUAUAUUGAAUAAUCGGACAUAGUACGAUAAGGUUGUAUGUCUAAAGGGAAAUAGCCCAGAACAAGAGUUAAUAAGGUUCCAAAAUUUUUGUUAAGUGAAAUUAAGGCAGUAUUUAUCCCAAUCGGCCAGGGAAUAGGCUUAGAAGCGGCCAUUUUUUGAAGACCUCGUAACAGAGCACUGGUUUUAUAUUUUAUGGAUAAAAGCACCGAAAAUUUAACGGAUCUAAACAAAAUACCGACACCUUGUCCAUAUAUAUUAAUGUGUAUAUUAUAUAUUGUAUAUAUGGGGUAGCGGAACAUUGGGCGUGAAACAGCCAUUUUUAAUCCUUUAUAAGGAUUAAAUUGCCUAGAGUUUUUUUAUUAAUCUCUAGACUAUAUAAGCCCAAGUGAUAAUGCUGACAUGAGUAACGAUAAAGGAUCAUUAAUACAUAAAAUAUUAGAGAAUCCUCGCCUAAAGCUUAUGGAAUUUAUUAAAGUUACGGCCUCUAAGUUUAUUUUUUUGUCUUAGCUUCCGAUUAUUUAUAUAUAGUAUAUAUUUAAUAUCUACGUCUAAAUAGUCGAGAGUUAUGACAAAUUACCUAAUGGUAUAGACGAUGAGAAAACCUAGAGUUUACAGUAAUUAACGUUUUUUAUUUACGUAUUAACUGGAACUCCGCUUAUUCUAUUGAAUUGUUAUUUUAAUAAUCUAUUGUUAAAGGAAAAACGGAAGAUCUUUACUAAUAUUUUAAGUAAAUUAUGUGAAAAAUGUUCUGGAAAACUGUAAGCUCCGUAAGUAAUAUAAAAAAAGUAAAACAAAGAUAUAUUGCAAGCUUAUGCUAUAAUACCGUACCUAAAUACUAACACAAGUGAGCAAGUAGAGAAUACGAAGGCGUUCGAGCUAACAAUCAUUAAGGAACUCGGCAAAUUGACUCUCGUAACUUCGGGAUAAGGUGGGCCAUUUCUUCUGAUUAAUAUCAGGUAAGAAAGAGGAGGCAUAGAAUGGUGUUGUACGACUGUUUAAUUAAAACAAAGCACGCUGCGAAGAAAUAAAUUCGAUGUAUUGAGUGUGAUCUCUGCCCGAUGGCGGCUGGUUAACUAAUUUGCUUAGUUAAAUAAAAUAAACUAGGCUUUGAUGGAAACCCCGUUCAAUGGCGGCCUUACCUAUAAGGGUCCUAAGGUAGCGUAAUACCUUGGCCGUUAAAUGCGGUCUUGCAUGAAUGAUGUAACGAUACAACAGCUGUCUCUAUGAUUGGCUCGGUGAAAUUGGAAUAACUGUGCAGAUACAGUUUACCUCUAGUUGGACGAGAGUGCGACUAGAAAGUGCAAUAUAAUAAUGUGGUAUGAUUCCACCUGAUAACCCAUUAUCUGAGCUCAUGCGGUAUGCAUUAGAAGUAAUUCUUUUGUGUAAAGCCCGUUAAAUAAUAAUUUAUAUUAUCCUACCUUAAAAUUAAUUUUAAGGCAGGUGAGCUAAUUUUACUAUGGAUAAUUAAUUUGAAUUCACGUCAGAAGCGUAUUAGAGGGGUUUAUUUUUUAAGUAAUAAACAAUAAGCUUUACUUAUCAAGUUUAACGGCUUAAUCUUGCUUUACUGUUUGACUUACAUGUCUUUCAGUUGCGUAAGCGGGGCAUAUGAUCACAAGAUGCAGAAAGGAAAGGUCUUGGAUUAUUGAAAAAGUUACGCUAGGGAUAACAGGCUAAUCGCGCCAGAGAGUUCAAAUUGAGUGCGGGGUUUGGCACCUCGAUGUCGGCUUAGCUCAUCCACAUGAAUGUAGGAGUCAUGAAGGGUCCGACUGUUCGUCGAUUAAAGAGCUACACGAGCUGGGUUAAAUACGUUGUGAGACAGUAUGGUUUCUAUCCUCUAGAGGAAGUUGGAAUAAAUUAGGGAUAGCCCCUUGUACGAGAGGAGUUGGGUAUAUUAACCUAUGGUUUACCUGUUGUUUGUUUUGCCAUAUUAUUGUAACUUAUAGAGACAAUCUCUCCAUUUGUUAUAGCCUCUGAGUUUAUAACCAAGAACGCAAUAUUUUAGGUGUAAUAGCUUAUGCUGGCAAUUACUUUUCACUAAAGUAACAUUUACUUAGGCAGAAAUAAACUGAAAUAGAUGAUAUGUCUAGUAAAAAGGCACGGCAGGAAAGCUACGUUAGUUAAUGAUAAGUGCUGAAUGCAUAUAGGCACGAAACAUACCUUAGGAUAUUCUCAUAUAUACGUAGUUUAAUACUACAAUUU